Molecule: long non-coding RNA, 233 nt
Filed under: Capsicum annuum
Lineage: Eukaryota; Viridiplantae; Streptophyta; Magnoliopsida; Solanales; Solanaceae
Description: long non-coding RNA (CANN_LNC015884)
Source: RNAcentral
CUUAGUGUGUAUAGCCAUACGAAUAGAGGAUAAUCAUAUGUCCAUAUGAGCUAUGAGGGACUCAAACCUCCCAAAAUAUAUCAAGGUGACUUAAGCACCUAGUUAUUUGACAUGGGGGACUUGAACCACCCAAUCAUAUAAUAAGGGGGACAUAAACCACUUUAGAUCCCCGCGUCGGCAAUCAUGGUUUCUAGUAUUGGUCCCUCGAGACCUCCACUUUCACCGUCCAUAUA